This 10672-nucleotide long non-coding RNA is filed under the name Nicotiana tabacum (common tobacco). Its description in RNAcentral is "long non-coding RNA (NTAB_LNC012126)". Lineage: Eukaryota; Viridiplantae; Streptophyta; Magnoliopsida; Solanales; Solanaceae. The record is from RNAcentral.
UCCUAUCCACAACUAACUCCCUAAGAACACGCCUGAUCCCAUUUUUUGGCUAACUCCCUUUUCCCCUCACUUGCAUAACACACACGACACAAUGUACACACAGGGCACUACUCGCAUUUUCUUUCCACAACUCACACACUGCACUAUGUAAUACAUUCAUUUUGUAGUAUUUAAGGGAGAGGGAGAGCAAUUAGGCAAACCUUAAGAAUCAUCUUGGUUUUUGAUCACACAAAAUCAUCUCUGUUUUCUCCAUUAAAGCCGCUCGAGUACUCCAUCUUCACAGCCAUAUAGCAGCUCCAAAAAUCACCCCUCAACAGCCAUGUAUCCACCUACAAACACCAAGGAAUCAACUGUUUCUUUUAGCCAACAAAGCACCCCAAAACUACAAUAAAUCUGCUGAUUUCUUCCACCUAAAACGACACCGAGACACUGCUGAAAUACCAGCACACAACCCUCCCUCCUCCCCUCCCCCCCCUACACACACAAAAAGCAGCCAUAAAACACCAGGAAAAUAGCUCCGAAAAUCAGUCCAAAAACCACCCCAAAUCCAGCCAAAAAGGAGCAGCAUCUCCAGCUCAAAAACAGCUGCAAAAUCGUCCAAACAAUAGUCCCGAAAAUCAGACCUAAGACACCACAAAAUAGCCUCGAGAACGCAGUAAAACCAACUCCAAAAACGUAAAAAAAAACUCAAACUCAACUGUAAAUCAAUCCAAGAACCAACUCCAAUCAGACCUUAAAUCACCACAAAGAUAGUCGAGGUUGCCGUUUAAAGUUUUACGACGAAGUUUCCGGUUCGGGUUCUAUUGAUGAGGUUUCUCUUUGGAUAGCAGAAGGAUACUCCGUUGUACAAGUUUGCCUUCUCAAUAUUGAACAAAGUUUAUUACCUUUGAGGUUUAUUCUUAUUUUUUAUUUUUCUUUCUUCAAAUUUUGUUAACUUACAUGCCUGUAAGAUUUUAUUAGUUAUUUGCUGAGUUGACAAUUGUCUGUUUAAGAGUUCAAAUGCGCGCUUGAUUAGUUUAAGCAAAGCUCGUGGAAUUUUGUUCAAAUUACUGAAGAUCGUUCUUGGUUUAUAUGCUAAAAAUGGGAAUUCAUGAGAGAUUUGUUAUGCCAUUUUGUUUAUUAUCGUUGUUUAUAAUUAUUAUGGCUUCAAAUUCCUUUGUAUGUUUCGAGUUAUUUUCUAAGUAGAUUAGUUGAAUAAGAUUUCAUUUUAAUUAAUUUUUUAGAAGUUUUUCCUAUAUAUACUAUAAUAGGAACUUAUUAAUUUAUUUUAUCUAGGUUUUGUAGUUUCCAAAAGUAUCUAGAUUUUUUUUAUAAAUUGUAUACAUUACCCCCUUAAAAAGCUCUCAUCCCAUGAUUAAUACCUUCAAUUAAGGGAUUCAAUUAUAUCCAUUCCUUUUUUCACACUUUUCCUCGUUUCAUGCGUCCUAAUUUUUUCUGUAUGCAGAUCGCCUCUUCUCUCUCUUCGAUAGUUGUACGUCUUCAACAAGAAGCUUGUAAUUUUGCUUCAGUUGUUGAAUGAUUUUGGUUGGAACCUUCAAAUGCUUGAUAUAAUGUCUUACUACAUAUUCUAUGUUUCUAUUAUUCUUAUAAUAUUAGGAAAGUGAUACCUAAUCUAACAAAUCCAAUAAUACAGAACUGAUUUUCAUAAUAGAUACCAAAAAGAUACUUUUUCUUUGCAGUAAGAAAUCUAUACACAUGGCAUAGAAUAUCAUGAGAUGACAAAAAAAAUCAGUUGCUAAAAGUUUCUUCAACAAUUCAAAAAUUGCUAAACUCUAGCAAAAUUAUUACUAAUAGGAUAAUGCCUCAUACACAAUCCAAAUGUGAAAUUGGUCACAAACUUACAAUUGCACAUCACCGUAUAUAAUUAUCAUAUAUUUAUGAUAUAAUUUCUGCAACAAUUAUGAUACAAAUAUAAUUAUGAUACAACUGUGAUACAAUUCUAAUCUUCAUCUUCUUCAAGUUUCAAUCACAAUUCUAAACUUAAAUUCUGAUACAAUAUUGUAUUAUAAUUAUAUUUGGUAUUAUUUUAUAUAUUGAUAUAUCAGAUACAAGUCAAAUACAACUUUGAUACAAUUAUCAUACAAUCGUGAUACAAUUUAAAAAUUUUUCUUUUUCGAGUUUCAAUAUGAAAUUUUACCUAAAAAUAACUCUAAACUUAACCAAUCUCCCUCAUAACUGAUAUAUAAACUCCAAGUUAUAUUCUAAAUCGUUUGCAAGAGCACCCAAUCCAAACAAAUCAUAAAUUCGUAAAACCCAAAUGUUGAAUUCAAAGAUUCGAAACUUUUUAAUGGUUGUCAAUGGAGAACUCUUUACUAUUGCAAUUUUAGAGAUAAUGUCGAUGAAUGCAUGUGAAGUGGAUGAGAACAAAUCACAAUUUCGUAAAACUCAAAUGUUAAAUUCAAAGUUUCAAAAUUUUUUAUUGGUUGUCAAUGGAGAACUCUUUGCUACUGCAAUUUUAGAGAUAAUGUCGAUGAAUUUGUGUGAAGAGGAUGAGAUUUGGAUUAAUUUGUAUGGAAGAGAGAAAUAUUUUAAAAUGUUUUUGAAAAUGGGAUGAAAAAGUGAUUUUAGGGACUUUGUAUAACUGAUAUACAUGAGAGGGAGGGAGGGCUGACGUGGGGGAGGGGAGAGGGAAGGGUUGUAUCAGUUACAUCCUAGUUUUAAGGAUGCUCUCUUUAUUAAGGUUUUGUAUAUAAAUAGUAAAUAUAGAUAGAGAAUAUAAUUUUUAAGGAACCUAAAGAAAAGUGGUAAAUAAGUUUCUAUUAUAGCAUAGUUGGGUAAAUUUUCCAUUAAAGAAUGAAGAUUUGUUCAUAUUAAUGGGGCAGUGUUUGAUCUUGCAAAUAGUUGGGUUGUAGAUAUUCAUUUGACUAUACAUACCAUUAGUUAAGCUAAAUGGGCCAAAAUUAGAACACCAAGCCCAUGAUGAAUAAGCUGGCCCAUUUCUUUUAUAAUGAAUAAUGUCGUACAUAUUCAAAAAUAAUUAUAGUACGCCUUUAGGCACGUUUUUGACUCGAUAAAUCAUCGUGACUAUGGGUACGGUUCCCGUGGCAUAGUCAUGAUACGUAACCCCAACUUAAAGUGCAUGUUCGCGUGACUUGAAUCAACUUAAAAAUAAUAAUAAUAAUAAUAAUAAACAUGUCGUAAUUCGUGGGUGCAUUUUACGUGUCGCGGUUUGCGAUGAGUAUAAAACGACAAGUGUACGACAUCGUAACUUGUUCAAAUAAAUUUUAUAAAUAUAUAAAAUGGCCAAAACAUUUGAUAAAAGCGGUAAAAGGGUAAAAACACCCAAUAUGUCUAAAACAUGUAAUAAUCAGACAAAUAAGCCAUGUGUAAUUGUAAAGCGACCGUGCUAAAAUCACCGAAUUUGGGAGUGGCUCAUACCUUCUCCCGGGUUAAUAUAAUUCCUUACCCAGGUCUUCUGUGUUUUGUAGACUGAUACAGAGUCAAUUUUUCCUUGAUUUGGGAUUUAAAAUAAAUGGCGAAUUGGGACGCCGUAAAUAAUUAUUCUAAGUGGCGACUCUAUAAAUUAAAUAAAAUAAUCCCUUUUCAAAUAAUAUCACUUUAAUUGGAAAAACUCUUUUUUCCCGUAAAAAAUGAGGUGUGACAACCACGAUCAUCCCUUCUUGAAUCAUCAUUUCUAUUUCCUUUUUCAAAACCAGACAAUCCUUAGUGUUAUGCCCCUGGAAUUAGAAUAGUAUACGCACCAUACAGCAGGGUCAAAACCUUUUGCAUAUGGAUCAGAAACAUACCCUUGAAGCAGCUCAAUCAUGUCAUAACGUUUCAACCUUUCAAACAAACUUGUGUAGGAUUCUACAAUUGGCGUGAAAUUAUCCCUCUACUUAUGAUCCCUUUCAUACUCCUAUUUCGGACGAGGGUAGUAGGGUGAUUGAAAGUUUUGCUAUCAAGGACGAAGGUCUGUUGAAGCUGGGGCCCAUAUCUGUUGUCGAUUGGAUGGUUUGGCAUAAUACUGAGCAUUGAAUGUUGCAUAUUGUGGAGCAACUGAGUAUCGAGGAUCCGGGGAUGGAUAGUAGUGUUGUGGAGAACCUUACGAAACCUGAUGAGACUGCCCAUAUUGUUGAGAUGCUCCCUUUUGACCUCUUUUCGACCAUGAUACCAUCAUGGCCUCCUCAUCUUUCUUCUUUCGGUUUGCAAGGCAUACCGACCCAUUCUGUAUUGCUUGGGGGUGGCUUUGAGAGUUGCUUGACUUAUAAUUCGGCCAGUCUUGAGGCCAUUUUCGACCAUUUCUCCUAUCUUGAUUGAUUCUGCAAAAGGUCUACCCAUGGCGGACAUCAUGUUUUGAAAGUAAUCAGGCUCAUGAGCCUCCAGAAAAACAGUGAUCAACUUGUGGUUAUCCAUGGGUGGCUUAACUCUAGCGCUUUCUCUCUAUUUAGUGGCAUACUCCCUAAAGCUUUCAGUCGGCUUUUUUUUUUAUAUUAGGCAGGGAAUUGCGAUCUGGCGCAAUAUCAAUGUUGUAAUGAAAUUGUUUGACGAAGGCUUGGACCAUGUCGUCCCAAUCAUGCCAAUGAGAGAUAUCUUGGUCAAUGAAAUAUUCAGAGGCUACUCCCACCAGACUCUCCCCAAAAUAAGCCAUCAGCAAUUCACCUUUUCCUCUUGCGCCCCUCAGCUAGUUGCAGUACCUUUUUAAGUGGGCGAUAGGGUUGUCGUGUCCAUCAUAUUUCUCAAAUUUUGGUGCCUUGAACCCUGGGGGUAAAUAUAUGUGAAGAAACAUGAACAGAUCACUUGAUGAGACACUUUUGUGACUGCAUAGUCCUUGUAUAUUCUUUAUGUUCUGCUCAAGACUUUUUAUUUUCUUGGCCAUCUCAUCUGGCUCUCCCGUCUUGACAUCCUUUUCAUUUUCUACAGGUGACUCGUAGUGUGGAGUCUGAUUGUGUGUAGCCGAGACCUUUAAAGCAAUAUCUGGAGAGUAGUAUUGGUCAUCAUAAGCAUGAGAUGGUGACUCGAUGUUUGGCCUCGUCACAAUAUUUGGUGGGCGGGAUUAUAUACACUGGCGCACCAGACACGACAAGAGAGGCGUUCCUAACAGGUGCGUCUAGAGGUCGCACAUUAGAGGUACCAAGGGCGGAAGGGAAGCUAUAAUUUGGCACAUACCCUGGUGGUAGAAUCUGAAAACUCAUGGGGAGCGGUGGUUGAGUAGCCAGGGAUACGGUGGAAGUUCCCUUUGAGGGACCCUGAGUCGGAGGCUGACUGGAGACCCAAGCCUGAUACACAUGAGACAGUUGCAGAUUCAAUCUUCUUACUUCCUACGACUCUUGCCCAACUGACUGACUCUGGGGGUCGUCACUGACCAACUCGAUUUCAUCAUUGUUAGCCAUCAGUACCUUUCCUUUAGAUCUAGUGAAGUAAUAAUGUGUUGCUAGUUUCACCACAAACCAACCACCUUAAACUUACUAUAUAAGAGACAACAAAAGUAUUAGGGUUAAGCAUUUUAAAGAUAUGAAUCACACGUAAUAUGCCAUGCUCCUAACAUUGUUACCGCCUCUAACAUGCUUUUCGAAGGCUUCAUGUUUCAUUUCGGCUUAUAAGGUUACUGCUUAUUGAUGCUCUUAUUUUCUUCUGCCCUUUUUCGCUUUUCUUUUUACUCGCCUCAUUUUGUAACCCUCAUAUUAGAGUCGUUGAAGAAUAUCUCGAUCGAACCUUUUGGGGGUUGCCUACGUAUCAUGUCGCCGCAUGAAUCAGAUCAUUACGUAAUUCAGGGACAUGACCAUUUGUUUUGGAGUUUUCUUUCUUUCUUUUUUUAUUUACAAAAACAAAGAUUUUUUUUAAAAUUUACAAAAAACAACAUCUUUUUGGUUCAUUUUCGAAUUUUUCUAAAAUAAAAUCUUUUUCAUUGAUUUUCGAUUUUUUUCUUCUUUUUUUUAUACAAGACUCAAAAACAAAAAUUACAUAAAGAUACAACCUAAAAAGAUAAAUAUUUAAACAAGACCGGACUCAACUCAAACAGACUUUUAAAAAUAAAAGAAAAAACAACAAGACUCAAAACACCAAAAGAGUUUUACAGACUCGAUGACAACGAAGGAACGAUCAAAAGGGACUACCAACUAAAAGAAGACUCAGAUCCCUAUAGAAGAAUCCACCAGCAUCAUUGUAGUCAAGGAGCUUAUUCUUGCGGCUGGCCUCCCAAUCAUAGUAUAUGCGCUUCAAGUCUAUGGAAAUAUGACGCGCGAAGUUGGGCGCUACCGUAGCAAAUUGCUCUCGAGUCAAACCCUGACAAGUCAUACACCCUUGGGCGGUAUAAGUAGCCACUUCAUAGGCUUUCCUUCUAACAUGAUCCUGGCUCUGACUUAAGAACUUGAUAUGCAACUCAUGAUUAUUGGCUAUGACUGAUAUAUCCACCUUGCGUUGUAAUGAUAGAUUCAGCUGGUUCUGGACCCUUCCUAGCUCAUUCUUUAGCUGGUUCUUACCCGAUUCUGCAAUCUUGGCCCGAGCCCUAUGAUCAUGGAUGAUAACAUUGCAAUGCAUUUCUUCGUGCAUUGGAAUGGCCCAUAUUCUCUCUUACUGAAGUUGUGCUUGAAGCUCUUGAAUCUCUUGAACCUCAUAUGUUAAUUUGGUCUCAGUGUACUACAAAUCCUUAUUCACAUUGACGAUACUUAUAUCCCUACGUAGCACCCGAAUGAUGGAUUCAUAGCCUCUUGUUAUUUCCUCCUUCGCCUGCCCCACUCUUGUUCUAAUUUCAACCUCUUAUUCUGUCGUGCUCUUCAGAACUGUCACUUGCAUGUAUCCAAAAGCAUAUUGAUCAUAGAACCACUCAAAAUAUGCAGGGUCUAACUCUUCUCAAUCCCGAUCUUCUACCACAUUGUGAAAUUCGAGUACCUUAUUUUCAUCCCAAACCUGUCGAGCAUAAGCCUCAUGAACUGGAUCCUCGGAUAUUACCUCCCACAUGAAUCUUUACAUGUGAUCCAUUAUGGGUACUACCGUUUUCGACCUAAUUGGUGUAGGGCUCUUAUAGGCACAGACGGCUGAAAACCACGAAGACCCAUCAAAAUCAGAAACGAAUGGUAGUAAGACCUAUAUAUGACCUCUUUUGGUGAGAACCAGUGGUAUUUCCAUGUGAUUUCAGAAUCAGUCAACUUAUAAAGAUGCCCUCUCCAUGCUUCAACGUCGUUGGGGAAGCUACUAUCUUUAGUCAAAUCUUUAAACCUAUAUUCAAGCUCAUUGUUGCUCCAAUGGACGCUAAAAUUCACCUAAACGGGAUGACGGAGAAGGUGCUCUAAAAAUCAUAUUUGGAGUAUGAUGUUACAGCCCUCAAAGAAAUCUUCUCCUUCUUGACACCUGGUCAGGGCAUGGUAAAUAUCUAACAAUAUCAUAGGAAUGAUAGUGACGUCCUUUCUACACAAUAAAGUGGUGACUAUGCCAGAUAAUCGAAUAUCAAUAUUUUUGUCAUGCCUCGAGAAAAUCAUUGUCCCUAGAAAUGCCACUAAGAAUGCUCUCCACCCAUGUCUUUGCCAAGCGUUGAAUCUAAUUUUGUUAUCAAGCUUUUUUCAUGAUUUGAGAAUCCACCUAGACACCCAUACCUGUCGUAUAAGAAAUCCAAUUGAACAUGCCAUCUUUCCACACUUGCUAUUUUAUUUUGGAUGUUUGUCAUCUACUCCAAAAUGUACUACUAGUGACUUCCCUUGGGGCCAAGGGUCUCUUCUUCCGAAGCUCAUCGACUAACCUUAUGUAUCCAACUAACUCCUCCAAAGUGGGAGUCAUUUCGAAACCAUUAAAAUAUAAUACAUUGUUAUUAGAAUCCCAGAAAUGCACCAACGCCUCAAUUAAGUCCCUCCUUGGGUUGAUCACCAUAAUAUUCAUUAAGUGACCCAGAUGGUCCUUUAUCUUUUCAUGCUCACAAAUGCUCAUAUUUUUCCAUCAUUGCCUCAACAACCGGGUAUUUAUGCACAAGACAAAUUUGUGGAGACUCAUCAUCUAUUGGCAUUUUGUUAGAUCUUCUUCUCAUUGGGUCUAUAAUGCACCUAAGUGGUAGAACAUGAGGUUAGGACCUAUGCAAGCUUAGAUAACACAAAAUUUCUAAUACCCUAGGAUUUGACUCAUGAAAGUUUAGAAAUGGAAAUGUGGGACUUAAGUAACCAACCCUAACCAUGUUUUGAAGUGAGCGUUUACUGAAAUUGAACACCCUCCUUGGGAGAUGAUACAAUUUUGAAUGAUCAGUCAAUCUUUACCCAAAUAGUAAGACAUGAUUGAUUUGGACGGGGCACUAGGCCAUAGUAGAGUUGCCUAAGUAUCUUGCAUAGGGUCAAUAAUCAAGUGCACAUAGUUUGUACAAGAGACAAAGCUGGACUACAAGACCUUUCUUACGAAAAUGGUCCUUUGGCACUUUCAAAGAAGGUUUUGGUGUAGUCCCGACAAAACAACUGAACACAAGGAUAAAAUGAUAAAAAGUAGGCAAAAAUGUCGAGCUUUGCUAAGCCAAAUGUAUGUGAUGCAAAUAAAGCGAACCUACUAGAAAUAUCCAGCAUGAGGUUUGUUCCUCUCGGUUUAAAUCCUAGUGGAGAAGGUAUCUAGAUUGGCUUACUCGAACGGACAACUCGAGCUGAGGAGGGUUAGCAUACCAGUAGCAAUACUUUCCGGCUUAGCUGGUGGUGCUCCCCGCCUAAAAUAUAUGUGACUAAAAUUAUUUACCGGGUGGCAAGCACCUCGGCUAUCUCAAAGGAAGCAUGAUAUGUCAAGCAAAUGUUCAAUUUUAAUUUCAAGAAGACUCAGAGGGGGUGCGUGAGAUGAUAGUUUAUAUGCACAGUUCAACAAUAUCAAAACGGUAAAAAUCAGACAAGUAGCAUAUUAGGGCCAAAUAAAUCAUGGUAUAUACAAAAAUUAAUAAAGCCAAAUAAAGUCAAUGUACAAGCUCGAAUUCUGGUUAUCCCCACCAGAGUCGCCAAAGCUGUCACACCAUUUUUCUAUCCCCCAAAAGAUAUGUGUGUUAUGGAUAAUUGUAGGUAAAAGAGUUUUUUCAAUUAAAAUGAUAAUUUAAAAUAAGGAUUAUUUUAUUGUUCAGAGUCGCUACUUGGAAUUGAUUUUUAGGUGUUCCAAAUCACCUUUUAUUUGAAUCCCUAGUCAAACGAAGGUUUGACUCUAUUAUUAUUGGUCUGCGAAAAUAAAGUCUGGGUAAGGAGUUCUGAUGUCCGGGGAGAAGGUGUAAGGCAUUCCCCGAGUCCCCUGGUUCUAGCACGAUCGCUUUAUUGGCUUAAGCUUGGCAUGAAUUAAUUUUGGAUAAAAUGUGCAUUAUUUGAUUUUCAUGGUUUACCUAUCCGCUUUUCAUUAUUAAAAUUAUUAAAGAAUAAUUUGAAUAAUAUUAAAUUGUCCUAACUGCACCACGCAAGCGAAUGUACGACCGAGAUGAAUUUUAUUAUUUUUUUCAUAACAGCACUACGCAAGCGAAUCCACAGUCAUGACGAAGGAUUAUUAGCACGUUAUUACUUUUGAAAAACUACAACAUUUGAGGAUAUUAAUUUUGGCAUUCAUUAAAAAGUCAACCAACGUGCUAGCGAUUAUAACAAGGUAUUAAUUAAAUUAAGAAUUAAUUAAAGCUAGUAGAUAUGGUAUGAGAUUGAUGAAUUAAUUGAAUGUCAAACAUCACGCUACGCAAGCGAGUCCGUGAAGUUAAAGUGUGCCUACUAGUUGCAUAGCGUUUAAAAUUAAUUAUAUUAUUAAAUUAGUUAAACAAAAAAAAAAUUAUUUUUGGCCCAGUUUCCAGAAGCAAAUCUACUGUUUGUUUCUGGUCGAUUCUCUUAGGUUCUCGAAACUAGUAGCUAUUUGUUCCCGAAAUUAACUAGAAUCCUUCUAUUUCUCACAAGUUUUGUACUCUAAGAAACACUCACGAAGUUCAGAAUUUUUAGCUUACUAUUCCAUAUGUUCAGCUGAUCUUUUGCCCUCAAAUGGUGUUCUUUUGUUGUAUAAAAAAUGUCUUCUAAGUGUGUUAGAGUGUGAGUAAAAAUGAAGAAAGAGUAGCCCUUAAGUAGGAAGUAAAAAAGCACUUUUUUGGACAGCUUUUUGUUCACUAAAAAUCUGUCCAAAAUGACUGAUAUUUAUUUACCAAAACCUGCCCAAAGGGCUGUCCAAAUAGGAGAAAGGACAAUCCCUUUUCACCAAGUUUAGACACAAAGAAAGUAAUUGAACUAUUGGCAUACUUCAAACAAUGAAAACAAACUAAUGUAUACCCUAAUCUCAUCAUUAACAUAACUACCUUUCAGCUUUUACAAAAUCAGUACCAACCACUUACUAAAAAAUAAAUAACUAGAACCUAACUAACUGAUCGAACUAUUAACCAACAAGGAGAACCAGAACUUCAAGAUUGAAACCAAACAAGAAACAUGUAUUAAGCCAUGAAAUACUUAAAACUAAUCCGCUUAAACCAAAACGAAUAUCAAAAAACAAUAACCUAGAAUCAGAACUUAACGACAUAAAGCAAAGCAAAAAUAUGUCAAUAGUGAUACAAACAAACAUAACCAAUUAAGUUAAAAAUAAAAAAUCAGACAUUAGAUUGAGAACUAACUGAAACAGUCACUGAUAUUCGGCUUAAAAUAUGCAUAUUUUUAUAUAUAUUGCCUCGCACUGUGCUCAUGUCUCAGAGAUUUUGGAUAUAUAAUAUAAUGAUUUGGGCUAAUUUGUGGUAUUUCUAUGCGUAGGAGUCAUUUGUGCGAAUUAGAGCGAAAAUGGGAAG